UGAUGGUGAUGAGGACAAUUUUUGAGCAAGCCAUUAAAUCUCUCCCAACCUUGGUAGAGAUUUUCUCCAUCUUUUUUUUUGAAACUCAAGAUCUUAAUCCUCAAAUG
Molecule: small nucleolar RNA, 107 nt
Filed under: Capsicum annuum
Lineage: Eukaryota; Viridiplantae; Streptophyta; Magnoliopsida; Solanales; Solanaceae
Description: Plant small nucleolar RNA R71
Rfam family: Plant small nucleolar RNA R71
About the family: R71 is a member of the C/D box family of snoRNAs containing the C (UGAUGA) and D (CUGA) box motifs. Multiple nearly identical copies of this snoRNA have been identified in Arabidopsis, and it is thought to function as a 2'-O-ribose methylation guide for 18S ribosomal RNA.
Source: Rfam by way of RNAcentral